UUUUAAUUUAUUUGUUCCUACAAUAGAGGAAACAAAACACAUUAAAAUCUUUUGCUUAAUGUAUUGAUUUUGUAUUUUAAAUGCAAAAUAGAAAACGUAAAAAUUAAUUGAAAUGGAAAAAAGAAGAAUGCAGAAACUGGAGCCAACCAUCUAUUUUACAUAAGCUUUGUGUAAAAGAAAGUGAAGACUAAGAAUCCAUCUGGAGAUGCUAAAGAAAGACCAAUUUUUUAGCAGCUGUAAGAGAAACUUUGCUUCAAAUGAGAGAGUCCCUUCAAAAUGGUCACCUUGGAAAGUGUGAGCCCUGCAGAAGUGUUAUGGAUGACUGCAAGAGCUGCUAGUGGAGGUCUGUAACAUGGAAGAUGCUCUUCCUUUGAUCUGAGCCUUGAGGAUAACUGAUGCUCAGGGACAAUGCUUUUACCUCCUGAAGAGCAUCCUCAGAGUCUGGUCCACAGUCCACGGAGUGAGGUUGAGGACCCAAAAAGGUAGCCUCAUUCUUGAUUUUGGCUGUCAAGAGGAUUUUAAAAACUGAGGUUGAAAAGGAGUUGGUAAUUGGCUCAGGAGUUCAUGGACGCAAACCCUUGACUGGAGCCCAUGAUGUCACCUGGAGAGAGAGACAAGUAAGUGUGACUCUGGCUUAUGCUGGAAGCAUGUGGUGCCACAGAGAACAGUGCAGGAUUUGGCAAGACCUCUUGGAGAGCUGGACCCCACACCUGUGGGGAGGGAGACAUGAGUAUUGUGAAUCUGAUUCUUGCUCCUGCUGGUCCUGAGUGAAGUCCUCACCUCAGGAGAGUCGGGCGCUCAUCUCAGAGAAAAUACCCUUCUUGGUGGAAGCAUACAGACUCCCUAGAGAGAAAUGUACUAUAGAUGCUGUAGCUCAAGGAUAAAGACUUUAAGAAACAUCAAGGAAAACCUAAAAAAUUACUUAUUAAAUCAAUCCUGGAGUUAGAGGCUUAGGUUUUUUGAUGUAUUUUUCAGGUCUCUGUUCAAUUGACAUUAUAGGUCAGAAGUUAGGAGUAUGAACUUUGGAGUCAUACUAACUGAAGUUUAAU
This 1049-nucleotide long non-coding RNA is filed under the name Homo sapiens (human). RNAcentral describes it as "HSALNT0010395". The record is from RNAcentral. Lineage: Eukaryota; Metazoa; Chordata; Mammalia; Primates; Hominidae.